Molecule: long non-coding RNA, 710 nt
Organism: Monopterus albus (swamp eel)
Lineage: Eukaryota; Metazoa; Chordata; Actinopteri; Synbranchiformes; Synbranchidae
Exons: 3
Source: RefSeq, a predicted model, not a curated record
CCGCUCAGCAUGUCGACUACGUCGUUGAACGUCCUGCCGAAGAUGGCCUCCCUGAAGUCAUCAGGAUUGUGGACGACAGCAGUAACGGUGUCCCUAUCCUCAUCUCUGAUGAUGAUCACAACGAAGGUGAGGCUGAGAGAUGGCCAGGAUGGAUGACCACAGGAGCAGCUGGAAGGGAAUGGUGGCCUGUGUUUCAGUGGACUUGAUAGCCCUCCAUCUCUCACACUGUCCAGCCACCAGUUGUGAUGAUGAGGGGCGUCCCAGAUCUACCCACACAGAGAAGGUUGUCAUUGUGGAACUUGUUUAUGUCGUGUCAUACUUACUGCAUAAGGCCUGCACCGUAAAGUGGCACUAAAGGCUAAGGAGUACCGCUACAGGUUAUCAGAAAAACUGUGUGCUCAAAGCCUGACCGUCUGAACCUCUCAAAAACAAAAAACACAUCCGGUCACAUGGUUAACAAACAACAAUAUGCCAUAACAUAACAUGUCUAGAGCACAUUGUAUAAAACAAACUUAUUAUUCCAAAACAUAAAGCUCUGUUGGCUAUGUUUUCUUAACUACGUAAACUAAACAUUUUUCAGAUUGGCUCUUACAGUCAUUGUGUGCUUUCUCUGUGCUGGUGAGUUUGGAAAGCUCCUCACACACUCAGCCUUCCUAUGUGCCUAGAGAUCCUUACCGUCAAGAAACGGACACUUAAGUGACAAAUGAUUA